UACGGGGGGGGCAAGCGUUAUCCGGAAUUAUUGGGCGUAAAGAGCUCGUAGGCGGUUUGUCGCGUCUGCCGUGAAAGUCCGGGGCUCAACUCCGGAUCUGCGGUGGGUACGGGCAGACUAGAGUGAUGUAGGGGAGACUGGAAUUCCUGGUGUAGCGGUGAAAUGCGCAGAUAUCAGGAGGAACACCGAUGGCGAAGGCAGGUCUCUGGGCAUUAACUGACGCUGAGGAGCGAAAGCAUGGGGAGCGAACAGG
RNAcentral lists this ribosomal RNA (253 nucleotides) under uncultured bacterium. Its description in RNAcentral is "partial 16S ribosomal RNA". It matches the Rfam family "Bacterial small subunit ribosomal RNA", at positions 524 to 776 of the family's 1533-position model. The record is from RNAcentral.